Molecule: ribosomal RNA, 253 nt
Filed under: uncultured bacterium
Lineage: Bacteria
Description: partial 16S ribosomal RNA
Rfam family: Bacterial small subunit ribosomal RNA
Source: RNAcentral
UACAGAGGGGGCAAGCGUUGUUCGGAAUUACUGGGCGUAAAGGGCGCGUAGGUGGCCUUCUAAGUUGAACGUGAAAUCCCUGGGCUCAACCCAGGAACUGCGUCCAAGACUGGGAGGCUUGAAUCCGGGAGAGGGAUGCGGAAUUCCAGGUGUAGCGGUGAAAUGCGUAGAUAUCAGAAGGAACAUCAGUGGCGAAGGCGGCUUCCUGGACCAAUACUGACGAUCAGGUGCGAAAGCGUGGGGAGCGAACAGG